Nothobranchius furzeri (turquoise killifish) is the source of this 2835-nucleotide non-coding RNA. The record is from RefSeq and is a predicted model, not a curated record. Lineage: Eukaryota; Metazoa; Chordata; Actinopteri; Cyprinodontiformes; Nothobranchiidae.
CCGGGGAUUCCGUACCGCCCUUUUACUGUUUGACUCUCGUGCAGGAGUGCAGGAGUUCUUACAGAAACACCGAUACUUGCGUCUUAUCUGCAUCUUUAUUCAUCAUUAAACAUAAGAUGAGCUCUUGUGAGUCCAGCAGCAUCACUGUGAUCGGCAGUGGGCUGAUCGGCCGCUCCUGGGCUAUGGUGUUUAUUAGUGGAGGCUACAGAGUAAAGCUCUAUGAUAACCAGCCAGGACAGGCUGCUGUUGCCCUCAUUGAGAUCAGAUGGAGGAGCUUGAGAAGUGUAAGAUGCUGAGAGGAGAGCUGACCUCCAGACAGCAGCUGGAUCUGCUCAGCAGCCAUGACGACCUGUCCCAGGCCCUGGAGGGAUCCUUCUUUGUCCAGACACAAUUAUGGAAAGACAUAUAACAUCGUCCUGGGAGCCAACCAGGUCGUCCCGGGGAUGAAGGACGGGCUGAUGGACAUGUGUGUAGGAGAAAAACGACACCUGGUUAUUCCCCCUCACCUGGCCUACGGGGAGAGGGGAGUCCUCGAUGAAGUUCCAGGAAGUGCUGAGAUGGUGUUUGACAUUGAUUUGGUUGAUAUGGAAGAAGGACUUCCUGAGGGAUACAUGUUCAUCUGGAAGGAUGAGGGAGCGCCAUAUCUCUUCUCAGAGAUGGAUGAAGAUAAAAACGAGCAGGUGGAGCCUUCUGAGUUUACCGACUACAUCAUGCAGCAGGUGAACAACGGGAAGGGCCGCCUGGCUCCCGGCUUCGAUCCUUACCGCAUCAUCGACAACAUGUUCUCCAACCAGGACCGCAAUGGAGACGGAAAGAUCACAGAGGCGGAGUUCAAGCUCAAAGCAGACGGGUCUGUGUCCCACGACGAGCUAUGACGAGACUGAGCGGAGAAAAGAUUAUGGUGAAGAGUGAAGGGUCUGAUGGUGGAGAACAUAAAUAUGUGGGUGGUAGAGUAGCAGGUGGGACGAUGUGUGUGGGAUAAAGAUUUAGUUUUUUUCAUUUUGAGGACUGAUGUGAUAAGCAUGUCCAAACAAACAAAAGAGCAGGAUUUUGGAGAGAAUAGAAGCUUAUAUUAAAAACAAACUUCUAAUUUGAGACUCUAAUGACAGCGAAUGAUGCUUUUUUACCUCCUUGUCAUCAGGUUCUUGUUUUAUGUGACGUUUAUUUUAUUUUGAAGGGUAUUAAAAGCACUCCUGUGUGAGAGAACAAGCAAACACCUGUAUCCUCUCACACAUUUGACUUUGUACACGUUAAAUGUGGUCAUCUUGAGUUAAAUGUUAUAUUUGCUGAUGAUUUCAAGGAUUAACGAGUUGACUCGCUCCUGAUAUGCUGUUUUAGGUUGUUUACAAAACAAAACAAGUUGUUUGCCUCGGCUCACGGUACAAAAUGGCGGGCUUGACCCCUGGCCCCUCCUGACGGACACCCUUACUCUGUGGGGAGACAACCUGUCGACCUAGGUCCCCAUCACUGGUUAAACUCUUAUUGCUGUAGGAAGACUCGUGCUGCAAACCAUACGGACUCGUCAGUUAUACCAUUCGCCUCACGGCGGAGGUGAAUCGGCAAGCGCCGUCAGAAAUCAGUCCUCGGCCACCGGCUCUCCCGGGACUCACUCGUCAGGUUUCUUUAGUACAAGCGAUGUGCUCUGAAGGAGAUCUCUCCAGGAUCUCCCUUCUCUAACAAUUCAUUUUCUAUUUAUAGUUAGCUUCUCCCCAGGGGGAGUUUUUCAGAGUCAGUUUUGGGCCUCAUGUCAUGAGUUAGGCAGCUUCUUGAUCAGUUUCCUGUGUCGGCAGCGCUCCUCGCCUCUGCGAGCUGACUGCUCAGAAUAUCAUCUUAUUUUUCGUUUAAACAUGAGGGCGGUUCAACCGCUGAGCUUGUGGCUGGAACUUUGACACCUUGGUGCUGGUUCGGUGGUUUGUCCAUUAACCAUUGAUCCAUUAAUCGUAAUCUCAACACACAGGACACUGGAUGGUCUGAUGUCCUUUAAAAUCCUUCCGUUGCUCGUUUUUGUCACCAAAUCUCAGACAGAGGGCCACAUUUUGUAUAUGUUUGUGUAUUCUGAUGUGUGUGUUUUUGUAAAUGAGACAUGUAUGUAUGUGGAUGUUUUGUUAAUGCAAAAAAGGCCGAUUCUUGUUGGUGACUACGUCAGUUCACAAAGUCUCCAAUUAAAUGACCUGACCAAAACAGCUCCAACCUCUGAUUGUGUCUCAUUUUAUCCUGAAUAUAAGGACCUGUCUCUGCUUAGGAUGUGUUGACCGGUUCUGGGGUCAUCAAAAUGAAACACAAGACCACAAACUUUCUAUAAAUGUUGUAUUGUUUUUAUUGAUUUUUUGUGUUACCAACACACGUAGCCUUAUCUGCCAAACUUAUAAAUAUUAAUGGAUGUUUUUACAUCAUAUUUAUACAAGUAUUAAUAUUUUGGUUAGGUUUAGUUUCAGUUGAUCUGUGACAUCAUCUUUAAAUUUUUAAAAAUUAACUCUCCUGUUGUCAGGAAUAUUAUACUUUUUUUAUUUUACUAUUAUUAUUGGCCACCUGGUAUUUUUUGUCAGUUUAUGGUUGUAAAAUUGCCCCAAAAUUGCAAAGUGUGUGUCUGUUUCUGCUCCUUUUUUCUAGAACAACUUCAGCUUCUAGUAUGUAGCUGGUAUUUAACAUUCAUGCAUAUGAAAAACUAAAAUAACAGUUUAAAAGUUUGAGUUCAGGAGAAAAAUAAAUCCCUUCGCUCACAACAUUCUGCGCAUGCGCACAUUGUAGCCUUUCGGUGCCAUAGCAACCAGUGCAACCGACCUCUCGUCAACAUAAUCCGAGCAAUGGCUUUGAAAGAAGCGUUGAGCAGAUGGG